GGGAGGGAUAAGAGGAGGAGAGUGGGGGAAGGGUUGAUUGUUAGAGCAAGUAGGCUGCUGAGGAGAGGACUUCAGAAGCAGUGCACUCUGCAAGAAAAUAUGCUGUCUGGUUGAAAUCUAUUGGAUUUUCAGAUGAUAACGUUAGGAUACACGUUUAGCGAACUUUAUGACCACAUUCACUGUUGUUCCUUGUAGAUCUUGGACGUGAGAUUGCUAGGUCCGAACUCGCUAGACAUGAGAUGAGUUAGCGGUAUACUGGCCGUUAGCUAGUUUAAGAAGUAAAUAUUAUUUCAUAGAAAGGGUUGGCAAUAUCGAGGAAAAUCCUCGUCCAGACAUUGGCAAGAAAAUUCCACUUAACGACCUAUCGGGGUGGUGUGUCGGGAUGGACUGCUCUGAUGGAGAAACUCAACCUCCACAAACGGGAGUACCCCACUACCCGGCAAUACAUGUGUGCACAGCUCUCAUUCAAAAGUACUCCUUGUUGAGAGACCAGACAGGGAAGGGAUAUGUAAGAAUUCUUGAAUUUUCCUACUCACAUUGAUUCACACACUAAUAACCUUUUUACACCAUUGUGCCUACCGAGACCAUAAUGUGCUGGCUUAGAUGUUUACUUCUCACAUUGGUUAUUCCAUCACAUUCGCAGCAGCAUAAAAAUACCAUCUACUGUUAUGUAAUUAACUACUAUGUCUGCUCCUCUGACCUCACUUCCAAUAAUCCGUCAUGACAUUUCUCAUGUACCCUUUACAGUAUGCAGCCAUUCUAAUUCCAUUCAUUCGAAUCCAGCCUUUUUAUUAUACACCCUUAAAUUGAAGGUCUCGAGGCCACUGCAGCCAUUUUGCUACCUCCUCAAAGAAGAUCCAAGUGGGCUGUACGUCACAGACAGUAACAAUUAGAGCCAAGUCCAACUGUUCCUGGAUGGAGAGGAGCUACAUGCCAGAGGACAUCUCCAUGGAAUUGAGAUUGGCAAUGGGAGUCCAUUUUGUUUUUAACAUUGAGCAUGCAGCAUCAGUGAAAAACACUAUGCUGAGCUUUCAGAAACCUGUUCUGGGAAUUUAUGAGUGGGGUAAAUUACCAACAAAUGUUGAAUGGCAAACUUUUUUCAGAGUUCCUCUGUCCAGUGUCUGUGUUAUUUUGCCCAUCUUCAUCUUUUCUUUUUAUAGGCCAGUCUGAGAUAUGGCUUUUUCUUUGCAACUCUGCACAGAAGGCCAGCAUCCCGGAGUCGGCCUUUUCAUUGUUGACGUUGAGACUGGAGUUUUGCGGGUACUAUUUAAUGAAGCUGCCAGUUGAGGACUUGUGGGGCGGGGCGUCUGUUUCUCAAACGAGAUACUCUAAUGUACUUGUCCUCUUGCUCAGUUGUGCACCGGGGCCUCCCACUCUUUCGAUUCUGGUUAGAGCCAGUUUGCGCUGUCCUGUGAAGGGAGUAGUACACAGCAUUGUACGAGAUCUUCAGUUUCUUAGCAAUUUCUCGCAUGGAAAAGCCUUCAUUUCUCAGAACAAGAAUAGACUGAUGAGUUUCGGAAGAAAGGUCUUUGUUUCUGGCCAUUUUGAGCCUGUAAUCGAACCCACAAAUGCUGAUGCUCCAGAUACUCAACUAGUUUAAAGAAGGCCAGUUUUAUUGCUUCUUUAAUCAGAAGAACUGUUUUCAGCUGUGCUAACAUAAUUGCAAAAGGGUUUUCUGAUGAUCAAUUAGCCUUUUAAAAUUAUAAACUUGGAUUAGCUAACACAACGUGUCAUUGGAACACAGGAGUGAUGGUUGCUGAUAAUGGGCCUCUACGCCUAUGUAGAUAUUCCAUUACAAAUCAGCCAUUUCCAGCUACAAUAGUCAUUUACAACAUUAACAAUAUCUACACUGUAUUUCUGAUCUAUUUGAUGUUAUUUUAAUGGACAAAAAAUUUGCUUUUCUUUCAAAAACAAGGAAAUAUCUAAGUAACCCCAAACUUUUGAACGGUAGUGUAUAUACUGUAUGUAUGUUUUUAUGUUUAGAUUCAUAAUAUAAUUUAAAAGUAUGCAUGAAGGGAUCUGUAAUAGAAUAAAUGUGGCAAAAUGUCUACAUUACGAAUGUAGACAUUAAUAAAGGCAUUUCUAAUAAUGUGUGACACAUGGUGCCAGGUUUCCUCCAGACGUGACGCUUGGCCUUCAGGCCAAAGAGUUCAAUAUUGGUUUCAUCAGACUAGAGAAUCUUGUUUCUCAUGGUUUGAGAGUCUUUAGGUGCCUUUUGGCAAACUCAAAGCGGGUUGUCAUGUGCCUUUUACUGAGGAGUGGCUUCCGUCUGGCCACUCUAACAUAAAGGCCAGAUUGGUGGAGUGCUGCAGAGAUGGUUGUCCUAUCUCCACAGAUCAACUAUAGAGCUCAGGUUCUUGGUCACCUCCCUGACCAAGGCCCUUCUUCCCUGAUUUCUCAGUUUGGCCAGGCAGCCAGUUCUAGGAAGAGUCUUGGUGGUUCCAAACAUCUUCCAUUUUAGAAUGAUGGAGGCCACUGUGUUCUUGGGGACAUUCAAUUCUACAGAAAUUGUUUGGUACCCUUCCCCAGAUCUGUGCCACGACACAAUCCUGUUUUGUUGCUCUAUGGAUAAUUCCUUCAACCUCAUGGCUUGGUUUUUGCUCUGACCAUGCACUGUCAACUAUGGGACCUUAUAUAGACAGGUGUGUGCCUUUCCAAAUCAUGUCCAAUCAAUUGAAUUUACCACAGGUGGACUCCAAUCGAGUUGUAGAAACAUCUCAAGUGUGAUCAAUGGAAACAGGAUGGACCUGAGCUCAAUUUCGAGUCUCAUAGCAAAGGGUC
This is a long non-coding RNA of Oncorhynchus tshawytscha (Chinook salmon), 2781 nucleotides long. The record is from Ensembl. NCBI's taxonomy places the organism in Eukaryota, Metazoa, Chordata, Actinopteri, Salmoniformes, Salmonidae.